This is a long non-coding RNA of Lemur catta (Ring-tailed lemur), 3533 nucleotides long. RefSeq lists it as uncharacterized. Lineage: Eukaryota; Metazoa; Chordata; Mammalia; Primates; Lemuridae. The transcript has 3 exons. The record is from RefSeq and is a predicted model, not a curated record.
GUUGUUCUCCGGGAGUGGCUGUAGCCACAGUGAAGUCACAGCGGCUCCCGAGAGCUUUCUGAGCACGGCCGACAUCAGGCUAGUGGGUGGGUGCGUGUCAUUCACAGCAGCUGCGGGACUUUCCUGCUGUAGCCGGAGAAGUUGCCAGGCACGUGCCGGAAGUUUCUGAAAUCAGUGCCGGCUUCCAGACGCGUGCUUGCUGCAGGCUGACCCAGAAGUGGCAGCUGGUCUGAUUGCCCCUCCCCCAAGCCUUCUCACCGUUGUCUAAACUUCCAGUUUCCUUUAUUCAGACUGUCAGCCGAAAAGGAAGAAGCUGAGGCAAGAUUAAUGUUAAGUGGGGAGUUUAUCGGGGCCAAGCUGGAAGCUUGCAGCCUGGACACACAGAUUCCAGUGGCCCGGAAUAUACUCAGGUUAGCAGCGUCACAAGAGGAUUUUGAAAGGAAAAGAAGAGGCAGUUCCUGAGUUGUUUACCAAGAAUUUACACUGAAAUACAUAAGCUAUUGAUUGGCUAUACAUUGUUGUUUGUAUCACAGAUUUAGGAACCUGAAGAUGAGGCAGCUAGUCAGGAACAAAAUGACUUCAGACAACUGCCCCCAGGCGCGGGGCAGGAGGAAUAAGUCCACACUCUGUCUGGGCCUGCAUCCUUCACCACGGAGCUCCAACUGCUCGGAGCUAUUUUCUGUUCUCGGAACCCUUCAUACUGAGAUUGCGUGGUGUCUUCUGUUUUCCUGACUACUGAAACAUCCAAGUGAAGAUGGGGACUAGGCAGUUGGAAAUGUGACUCUGGAGUUUGGGAGAGAGGUCAGGGCUGGAGAUGAGUUGAAGGUCAUCAGCAAAUGACGGCAUUUAAAUCUGGAGCUGGAGGGCUCAGCAAAGGUAAUGUAGGGGAGAGAACACUCCAAGAACGGAGCCUGGAGCCAGCCAGCAGGGACAGGCUGUGGGAAAGGAGACACAUCGGUUGAGGAGGACCCAGUGAGGUAGAAAGAGCCAGGGAGGGUGGAGCUCUGGACGCCAGGAGAGAGAGGUAGCAGGUGGGAGGGAAUGACCAACUGUGCCAAGGACUGAGGAUUGGCCCACUGGAUCAAGCAAGGCAGGGGUCUCUGGUGAUUGGAAAACAGCCAUUCUGUGAGUUUAGAGUGGGUUUUAGGAUGGGAGGAAAAGAAUUGCACACAACCGUGUUCAUUGUGAGAAGCCUGGUGCUGUAUAUGAAAAUGUUAACAAGCAACAUCUCUGGGUCAUGAGAUUGUAGAUGAGGUUUGUCCCCUAUAUAUUUUACUGAAUAGUGGACAGGAGCAUGCAGUUCUUCUAUAAAUAAAAAUAAGUUAUUCUAAACAUCCCUCCCUAAAUGCUUCAACUACCAGCCUUCCCCGACUGACCUGAGGCUGGUGCUAAGUUCCAAGGAGCUCAGGUCUACGAAACAGAAAGUGCACAUGCAAGUUCUGGGUGUCAGUCUCAGUUCCCCGACAUUGUUCACCUUCUUCUUCCCAAGAAUAUCAAAUCAUGCACAUCCUCUCUGCUCUUCCCAAACUCAGGUUACCUAGCAUGCUGGAAUUAAAUGGUACCCUGACAACUUGAAAAUCCUUUCCAUAAUGAAAACAAAUGUUUAUGGAACACAUCCCAUGUAGCAAGAACUUCCAUUUAAUACUGCAUUUAAAAAGAUGAAUGUGCUUCCCAAAUGCUUAAUUUACACCAUGACAGCAUUUAUUCAGGAUCGCCAGAGACCCCUCCAGCAGAUGUGCCUGUCAACUCACUGAGGAAAGAAAACAAACACGAGAAAUUUCAGAAACUGGAAGCUUGUAAGACCAAGAAAGAUGCGAAGUGAGGUUCGGUGGGCGCAGACUGAGCACCAGCCCAGUGCAGCUGGAGAGGCUUCCAGUGUUCACAGGCCCCCGGGGACUUCCCUCCAGACUCCCGGUGACUGCUCCGUGCCAGCGGUGACACUAACGCUGUGCACUGGGUUCCCAGCCCUGGGACUGCAAAGCCUGCCUCGCCAGUAAAGGACGUCUUCAAGGUACAAGAGGGGAAAUUUGGACACAGACACACACAGGGAGACUGCCACGUGAGGACCGGAGUCACGCUGCCACAAGCCAACAACCUCCAGGAGCCCGGGAGAGAGGCCCGGAGCAGGUCCCUCCCGACACCUUCAGAGGAAGCACGGCCCUGCUGACCCCGGUUUCUGUUUGAGCCACUCCGUUUGUGGUGCUUUGUCUCAGCACCUUAGCAAGCUAAUAGACACGUCAGCGAAAGCGCACUACGUUCAUCUCAAUAUGUGCUGUGUGUAAACACGUGCAGCGAAAUCCAACGUUAGAUGCAGUCGGCCCGCUAGAAGUGCAGAUCAGAGGGAAAAACUGUUUCAUACAGAGGCUGUAUAACGGCGGAGACUGGGUCAGUCCUCUCUUGCCAAUGUAAAAUGAGCCGUGGCUGUGCGGAGGCCAGGGCUACAACAGCGACCGGCCGGGCGAGGCUGCUCCCUGGCUCUGCGUCCGGCGGAAGGACGCUCGCGCCAGCUCUGCAAGUCCUCGGCCCGUUUAGAGCAUCGUCCCGGCUUCAGGUGGUCCCGCUGGCUUUCCUUAACUCAUUGUUUUAGUGCUUGGUCAGACGGUGCGUCGGUGGGUACGCGUCCCUUACGUGCUUGGGACUUCUGCUCUGACCGCCAGCCGACCGUGGCGCAGAUGCUCCUGGUCCUCAAGCCCAGGACUCUCCACCCGCAGCGUCAGUGCCGUGCGAUUCUGGAAAACUCUGUCCGUAUGUCUUUGUUUAGUUGGCGUUCUUAUCUGACAUCCCUACUUCCAAAAAGGACUCGAGGUGACUUACGUUAAAAACACCUGGCCAACAUGUACAUUAUAAACCGUGUGGCCGGGAACGGGCAGGUGUUUACACAUUCUGCCAAGUCUGCUUCCGUGGAAUUGCAAGGCCUGCUCCCACGCAGGGGAAACGCACGCCUGGGGUGUGCUCUGCAGCACGCGCUUCCGCAGCCCGAGUGAGUGGUAUGUGCCAUGACGUCACUCUCUGCACAGCGCAGCCCGUCAAAGGUAAAUCGAUCAGCAUAAAUGGCAGAGAAAGGGGGGGAAGUUCUCAUUCUUACUCUCUGCUGACCACGUUUCCCUACAGCAGGCUCCAUAACACAGAAUCGCUCCUUGCGCAGGAAAACUCACUUCACGGAAAAUGUGUGUGUGUGUUGUUUUACUUGUUCUCAUGUAUACUCUUAAGGUGACAGAACUUCUAAAACACAGAAGAGACAGAAAAAACUAUGAUCAGAAUCAAAUAUGUAAUAGGAAAACAAGGGAUGCAAAACACGAGAGAAAUAAAAAUGAAUUAAAUCAGUGAAUAAAUAAUUUUUUUCCUAGAAAAAUAACUCUCCAAGCAUCACAAUUCCUUACAAGUUUUUUACAUGGAGAAAUGCAAUUCAAGAAAAGAAGUAGGGGUGGGAAUGAUUUACAUAAUUUAAAAUUUUUGACAUAUUAAUUGCUUAAUUUUAUAAAAAGAAAUCAGAGCCCAGUAAUUUAUUUUAGUAAGAGCAAAAUGAUCAUAGG